AAAGCUUUAAGUUAAAAAAAACUAAUAACCUUCAAAGUUAUAAAUAUAAUAAUUUUAUAAGCUUUA
Molecule: transfer RNA, 66 nt
Filed under: Pygovepres vaccinicola
Lineage: Eukaryota; Metazoa; Arthropoda; Insecta; Hemiptera; Miridae
Description: tRNA-Trp
Source: RNAcentral